CAGCCACCUUAUCAGUGUCCGAAGCCAACACUCCAGCUAUUAACCCUCCUAAAUCUAUUGUACUCAAUGAGAACCCAGUAGCUACCUGUUCUUUACACUUCCAGUUGCUAACUCCUCUGCUCUUUACACGUUUCUUGCUGUAGAAGCCCUUUCAUGACAUCCAGUGACAAACUGACUUUCCUCAUUUCUCCAGCUUCCAAGUCCUGAUAGGCUUCUCCUUAGAAUAAGACCACCCCAGCAACCUGAUAUUGCAGAGUACCUUCAACUGCCCUUGCGAUCAGGUCCUUGAUGCUGAAUACCUCUGCCAAACAGAAGCCCCUACUACUCUUCUUGACUUCGGAUGAGAAAUAAUCAUUAAACUCAUUUAUGAGAUUGAAAUAAUACAAAAACCGGAUUUUAAUGAUACCUCAAGGAGAUUGGACCUCAUGCAGACCUGGCUACCUGACCCAUGGAAAAAGCCAGAUGUAAGUAUUUGAACCAUUUUGUUGCACAGAGCGUCAUCAAAUGCAUCCUUGGUGUUUUCGAAGCAACAGAACAUACCUGGGCCAGGUGUUUCCUAGGAAAAGCUGAAGAUUGGCAAUUUUGAUACUUUGCUUCUCUUAGAAGUUUGUUCCACUCUUGACACACAAUAAACAGCCUAUUUUUCACUGCUCUU
Molecule: long non-coding RNA, 655 nt
Filed under: Crocodylus porosus (Australian saltwater crocodile)
Lineage: Eukaryota; Metazoa; Chordata; Crocodylia; Crocodylidae
Description: lncRNA (ENSCPRG00005007452.1)
Source: RNAcentral